Molecule: ribosomal RNA, 467 nt
Filed under: uncultured eukaryote
Lineage: Eukaryota
Description: SSU rRNA
Rfam family: Eukaryotic small subunit ribosomal RNA
Source: RNAcentral
AACCUGGUUGAUCCUGCCAGUAGUCAUAUGCUUGUCUCAAAGAUUAAGCCAUGCAUGUCUAAGUAUAAGCACUUGUACUGUGAAACUGCGAAUGGCUCAUUAAAUCAGUUAUCGUUUAUUUGAUUGUACUUUACUACAUGGAUACCUGUGGUAAUUCUAGAGCUAAUACAUGCGAAAAAUCCCGACUUCUGGAAGGGAUGUAUUUAUUAGAUUAGAAACCAAUGCGAGUCUUCGGGCUCGUUUUCUUGGUGAUUCAUGAUAACUUUUCGAAUCGCAUGGCCUAGCGCCGGCGAUAUUUCAUUCAAAUUUCUGCCCUAUCAACUGUCGAUGGUAAGGUAGUGGCUUACCAUGGUUAUAACGGGUGACGGAGAAUUAGGGUUCGAUUCCGGAGAGGGAGCCUGAGAAACGGCUACCACAUCUAAGGAAGGCAGCAGGCUCGAAAAUUACCCAAUCCCAAUUCGGGGAGG